RNAcentral lists this non-coding RNA (24 nucleotides) under Arabidopsis thaliana (thale cress). Lineage: Eukaryota; Viridiplantae; Streptophyta; Magnoliopsida; Brassicales; Brassicaceae. The record is from RNAcentral.
AUAUGGCUGAUCCCGUUACGGUCA